RNAcentral lists this ribosomal RNA (465 nucleotides) under Vreelandella stevensii. Its description in RNAcentral is "partial 16S ribosomal RNA". It matches the Rfam family "Bacterial small subunit ribosomal RNA", at positions 338 to 795 of the family's 1533-position model. The record is from RNAcentral. Lineage: Bacteria; Pseudomonadati; Pseudomonadota; Gammaproteobacteria; Oceanospirillales; Halomonadaceae.
CCUACGGGCGGCAGCAGUGGGGAAUAUUGGACAAUGGGGGGAACCCUGAUCCAGCCAUGCCGCGUGUGUGAAGAAGGCCCUCGGGUUGUAAAGCACUUUCAGUGAGGAAGAACGCCUGGUGGUUAAUACCCAUCAGGAAAGACAUCACUCACAGAAGAAGCACCGGCUAACUCCGUGCCAGCAGCCGCGGUAAUACGGAGGGUGCGAGCGUUAAUCGGAAUUACUGGGCGUAAAGCGCGCGUAGGUGGCUUGAUAAGCCGGUUGUGAAAGCCCCGGGCUCAACCUGGGAACGGCAUCCGGAACUGUCAAGCUAGAGUGCAGGAGAGGAAGGUAGAAUUCCCGGUGUAGCGGUGAAAUGCGUAGAGAUCGGGAGGAAUACCAGUGGCGAAGGCGGCCUUCUGGACUGACACUGACACUGAGGUGCGAAAGCGUGGGUAGCAAACAGGAUUUGAUACCCUAGUAGUC